This 497-nucleotide ribosomal RNA is filed under the name uncultured bacterium. Its description in RNAcentral is "partial 16S ribosomal RNA". It matches the Rfam family "Bacterial small subunit ribosomal RNA", at positions 28 to 507 of the family's 1533-position model. The record is from RNAcentral.
GAUGAACGCUGGCGGCGUGCCUAAUACAUGCAAGUCGAGCGAACAGACGAGGAGCUUGCUCCUCUGACGUUAGCGGCGGACGGGUGAGUAACACGUGGAUAACCUACCUAUAAGACUGGGAUAACUUCGGGAAACCGGAGCUAAUACCGGAUAAUAUAUUGAACCGCAUGGUUCAAUAGUGAAAGGCGGUUUUGCUGUCACUUAUAGAUGGAUCCGCGCCGCAUUAGCUAGUUGGUAAGGUAACGGCUUACCAAGGCGACGAUGCGUAGCCGACCUGAGAGGGUGAUCGGCCACACUAGAACUGAGACACGGUCCAGACUCCUACGGGAGGCAGCAGUAGGGAAUCUUCCGCAAUGGGCGAAAGCCUGACGGAGCAACGCCGCGUGAGUGAUGAAGGUCUUCGGAUCGUAAAACUCUGUUAUUAGGGAAGAACAAAUGUGUAAGUAACUAUGCACGUCUUGACGGUACCUAAUCAGAAAGCCACGGCUAACUACGUG